RNAcentral lists this ribosomal RNA (640 nucleotides) under uncultured Alphaproteobacteria bacterium. Its description in RNAcentral is "bacterial SSU rRNA". It matches the Rfam family "Bacterial small subunit ribosomal RNA", at positions 224 to 881 of the family's 1533-position model. Lineage: Bacteria; Pseudomonadati; Pseudomonadota; Alphaproteobacteria. The record is from RNAcentral.
GAUCGGCCCGCGUCUGAUUAGCUUGUUGGUGAGGUAACGGCUCACCAAGGCGACGAUCAGUAGCUGGUCUGAGAGGAUGAUCAGCCACAUUGGGACUGAGACACGGCCCAAACUCCUACGGGAGGCAGCAGUGGGGAAUAUUGGACAAUGGGCGCAAGCCUGAUCCAGCCAUGCCGCGUGAGUGAUGAAGGCCCUAGGGUUGUAAAGCUCUUUUGUGCGGGAAAAUAAUGACGGUACCGCAAGAAUAAGCCCCGGCUAACUUCGUGCCAGCAGCCGCGGUAAUACGAAGGGGGCUAGCGUUGCUCGGAAUCACUGGGCGUAAAGGGUGCGUAGGCGGGUCUUUAAGUCAGAGGUGAAAGCCUGGAGCUCAACUCCAGAACUGCCUUUGAUACUGAGGAUCUCGAGUUCGGGAGAGGUGAGUGGAACUGCGAGUGUAAAGGUGAAAUUCGUAGAUAUUCGCAAGAACACCAGUGGCGAAGGCGGCUCACUGGCCCGAUACUGACGCUGAGGCACGAAAGCGUGGGGAGCAAACAGGAUUAGAAUCCCUGGUAGUCCCCCCCGUAAACGAUGAAUGCCAGCCCUUGGAAAGUUUUCUUUUCGUGGGCGCAAUUAACCCUUUAAGCCUUCCCCCCUGGGGAGU